GGGUUGUGAGGUUAAGCGACUAAGCGUACACGGUGGAUGCCCUGGCAGUCAGAGGCGAUGAAGGACGUGCUAAUCUGCGAUAAGCGUCGGUGAGGUGAUAUGAACCGUUAUAACCGGCGAUUUCCGAAUGGGGAAACCCAGUGUGUUUCGACACACUAUCAUUAACUGAAUCCAUAGGUUAAUGAGGCGAACCGGGGGAACUGAAACAUCUAAGUACCCCGAGGAAAAGAAAUCAACCGAGAUUCCCCCAGUAGCGGCGAGCGAACGGGGAGGAGCCCAGAGCCUGAAUCAGUGUGUGUGUUAGUGGAAGCGUCUGGAAAGGCGUGCGAUACAGGGUGACAGCCCCGUACACAAAAAUGCACAUAUUGUGAGCUCGAUGAGUAGGGCGGGACACGUGGUAUCCUGUCUGAAUAUGGGGGGACCAUCCUCCAAGGCUAAAUACUCCUGACUGACCGAUAGUGAACCAGUACCGUGAGGGAAAGGCGAAAAGAACCCCGGCGAGGGGAGUGAAAAAGAACCUGAAACCGUGUACGUACAAGCAGUGGGAGCCUCUUAAUGGGGUGACUGCGUACCUUUUGUAUAAUGGGUCAGCGACUUAUAUUCUGUAGCAAGGUUAACCGAAUAGGGGAGCCGAAGGGAAACCGAGUCUUAACUGGGCGUUAAGUUGCAGGGUAUAGACCCGAAACCCGGUGAUCUAGCCAUGGGCAGGUUGAAGGUUGGGUAACACUAACUGGAGGACCGAACCGACUAAUGUUGAAAAAUUAGCGGAUGACUUGUGGCUGGGGGUGAAAGGCCAAUCAAACCGGGAGAUAGCUGGUUCUCCCCGAAAGCUAUUUAGGUAGCGCCUCGUGAAUUCAUCUCCGGGGGUAGAGCACUGUUUCGGCAAGGGGGUCAUCCCGACUUACCAACCCGAUGCAAACUGCGAAUACCGGAGAAUGUUAUCACGGGAGACACACGGCGGGUGCUAACGUCCGUCGUGAAGAGGGAAACAACCCAGACCGCCAGCUAAGGUCCCAAAGUCAUGGUUAAGUGGGAAACGAUGUGGGAAGGCCCAGACAGCCAGGAUGUUGGCUUAGAAGCAGCCAUCAUUUAAAGAAAGCGUAAUAGCUCACUGGUCGAGUCGGCCUGCGCGGAAGAUGUAACGGGGCUAAACCAUGCACCGAAGCUGCGGCAGCGACACUAUGUGUUGUUGGGUAGGGGAGCGUUCUGUAAGCCUGUGAAGGUGGCCUGUGAGGGUUGCUGGAGGUAUCAGAAGUGCGAAUGCUGACAUAAGUAACGAUAAAGCGGGUGAAAAGCCCGCUCGCCGGAAGACCAAGGGUUCCUGUCCAACGUUAAUCGGGGCAGGGUGAGUCGACCCCUAAGGCGAGGCCGAAAGGCGUAGUCGAUGGGAAACAGGUUAAUAUUCCUGUACUUGGUGUUACUGCGAAGGGGGGACGGAGAAGGCUAUGUUGGCCGGGCGACGGUUGUCCCGGUUUAAGCGUGUAGGCUGGUUUUCCAGGCAAAUCCGGAAAACCAAGGCUGAGGCGUGAUGACGAGGCACUACGGUGCUGAAGUGACAAAUGCCCUGCUUCCAGGAAAAGCCUCUAAGCAUCAGGUAACAUCAAAUCGUACCCCAAACCGACACAGGUGGUCAGGUAGAGAAUACCAAGGCGCUUGAGAGAACUCGGGUGAAGGAACUAGGCAAAAUGGUGCCGUAACUUCGGGAGAAGGCACGCUGAUAUGUAGGUGAAGCGACUUGCUCGUGGAGCUGAAAUCAGUCGAAGAUACCAGCUGGCUGCAACUGUUUAUUAAAAACACAGCACUGUGCAAACACGAAAGUGGACGUAUACGGUGUGACGCCUGCCCGGUGCCGGAAGGUUAAUUGAUGGGGUUAGCGGUAACGCGAAGCUCUUGAUCGAAGCCCCGGUAAACGGCGGCCGUAACUAUAACGGUCCUAAGGUAGCGAAAUUCCUUGUCGGGUAAGUUCCGACCUGCACGAAUGGCGUAAUGAUGGCCAGGCUGUCUCCACCCGAGACUCAGUGAAAUUGAACUCGCUGUGAAGAUGCAGUGUACCCGCGGCAAGACGGAAAGACCCCGUGAACCUUUACUAUAGCUUGACACUGAACAUUGAGCCUUGAUGUGUAGGAUAGGUGGGAGGCUUUGAAGUGUGGACGCCAGUCUGCAUGGAGCCGACCUUGAAAUACCACCCUUUAAUGUUUGAUGUUCUAACGUUGGCCCGUAAUCCGGGUUGCGGACAGUGUCUGGUGGGUAGUUUGACUGGGGCGGUCUCCUCCUAAAGAGUAACGGAGGAGCACGAAGGUUGGCUAAUCCUGGUCGGACAUCAGGAGGUUAGUGCAAUGGCAUAAGCCAGCUUGACUGCGAGCGUGACGGCGCGAGCAGGUGCGAAAGCAGGUCAUAGUGAUCCGGUGGUUCUGAAUGGAAGGGCCAUCGCUCAACGGAUAAAAGGUACUCCGGGGAUAACAGGCUGAUACCGCCCAAGAGUUCAUAUCGACGGCGGUGUUUGGCACCUCGAUGUCGGCUCAUCACAUCCUGGGGCUGAAGUAGGUCCCAAGGGUAUGGCUGUUCGCCAUUUAAAGUGGUACGCGAGCUGGGUUUAGAACGUCGUGAGACAGUUCGGUCCCUAUCUGCCGUGGGCGCUGGAGAACUGAGGGGGGCUGCUCCUAGUACGAGAGGACCGGAGUGGACGCAUCACUGGUGUUCGGGUUGUCAUGCCAAUGGCACUGCCCGGUAGCUAAAUGCGGAAGAGAUAAGUGCUGAAAGCAUCUAAGCACGAAACUUGCCCCGAGAUGAGUUCUCCCUGACUCCUUGAGGGUCCUGAAGGAACG
RNAcentral lists this ribosomal RNA (2825 nucleotides) under Escherichia coli. Its description in RNAcentral is "partial 23S ribosomal RNA". It matches the Rfam family "Bacterial large subunit ribosomal RNA". Lineage: Bacteria; Pseudomonadati; Pseudomonadota; Gammaproteobacteria; Enterobacterales; Enterobacteriaceae. The record is from RNAcentral.